This 1347-nucleotide ribosomal RNA is filed under the name Acinetobacter baumannii UH5707. RNAcentral describes it as "bacterial LSU rRNA". It matches the Rfam family "Bacterial large subunit ribosomal RNA", at positions 1241 to 2571 of the family's 2925-position model. Lineage: Bacteria; Pseudomonadati; Pseudomonadota; Gammaproteobacteria; Moraxellales; Moraxellaceae. The record is from RNAcentral.
CUGUAAGCCGAUGAAGGUGUGUUGAGAAGCAUGCUGGAGGUAUCAGAAGUGCGAAUGCUGACGUGAGUAACGACAAAACGGGUGAAAAACCCGUUCGCCGAAAGACCAAGGGUUCCAGUCCAACGUUAAUCGGGGCUGGGUGAGUCGACCCCUAAGGCGAGGCCGAAAGGCGUAGUCGAUGGGAAAAUGGUUAAUAUUCCAUUACUUCUGUGUAAUGCGAUGAGAGGACGGAGAAGGCUAAAUCAGCCUGGCGUUGGUUGUCCAGGUGAAAGGAUGUAGGCAUGUAUCUUAGGCAAAUCCGGGGUACUCUAUGCUGAGAUCUGAUAGCAAGCUGUACUUGUACAGCGAAGUGGUUGAUGCCAUGCUUCCAGGAAAAGUCUCUAAGCUUCAGUUACACAGGAAUCGUACCCGAAACCGACACAGGUGGUCAGGUCGAGUAGACCAAGGCGCUUGAGAGAACUCUGCUGAAGGAACUAGGCAAAAUGGUACCGUAACUUCGGGAGAAGGUACGCUGUUGUUGGUGAUGGAACUCGCUUCCUGAGCUGACGACAGCCGCAGAAACCAGGCCGCUGCAACUGUUUAUUAAAAACAUAGCACUCUGCAAACACGAAAGUGGACGUAUAGGGUGUGAUGCCUGCCCGGUGCUGGAAGGUUAAUUGAUGGGGUUAGCGUAAGCGAAGCUCUUGAUCGAAGCCCCAGUAAACGGCGGCCGUAACUAUAACGGUCCUAAGGUAGCGAAAUUCCUUGUCGGGUAAGUUCCGACCUGCACGAAUGGCAUAAUGAUGGCGGCGCUGUCUCCAGCAGAGGCUCAGUGAAAUCGAAAUCGCUGUGAAGAUGCAGUGUACCCGCGGCUAGACGGAAAGACCCCGUGAACCUUUACUGCAGCUUGACACUGAACUUUGACCUUACUUGUGUAGGAUAGGUGGGAGGCUUUGAAGCUGGAACGCUAGUUCCAGUGGAGCCGUCCUUGAAAUACCACCCUGGUAAUGUUGAGGUUCUAACUCUGUCCCGUGAUCCGGGACGAGGACCGUGUCUGGUGGGUAGUUUGACUGGGGCGGUCUCCUCCUAAAGAGUAACGGAGGAGUACGAAGGUGCGCUCAGCGUGGUCGGAAAUCACGCGUAGAGUAUAAAGGCAAAAGCGCGCUUAACUGCGAGACCCACAAGUCGAGCAGGUACGAAAGUAGGUCUUAGUGAUCCGGUGGUUCUGUAUGGAAGGGCCAUCGCUCAACGGAUAAAAGGUACUCUGGGGAUAACAGGCUGAUACCGCCCAAGAGUUCAUAUCGACGGCGGUGUUUGGCACCUCGAUGUCGGCUCAUCUCAUCCUGGGGCUGAAGCAGGUCCCAAGGG